Molecule: ribosomal RNA, 278 nt
Filed under: uncultured Oscillospiraceae bacterium
Lineage: Bacteria; Bacillati; Bacillota; Clostridia; Eubacteriales; Oscillospiraceae
Description: partial 16S ribosomal RNA
Rfam family: Bacterial small subunit ribosomal RNA
Source: RNAcentral
GCAGCCGCGGUAAUACGUAGGUGGCGAGCGUUAUCCGGAUUUACUGGGUGUAAAGGGUGUGUAGGCGGGUUGGCAAGUCAGAUGUGAAAAUUAUGGGCUCAACUCAUAACUUGCAUUUGAAACUGUCGAUCUUGAGAGUGGGAGAGGUAAAUAGAAUUCCCGGUGUAGCGGUGAAAUGCGUAGAUAUCGGGAGGAAUACCGGUGGCGAAGGCGAUUUACUGGCCCAUUACUGACGCUGAGACACGAAAGCGUGGGGAGCAAACAGGAUUAGAUACCCC